Molecule: ribosomal RNA, 253 nt
Filed under: uncultured bacterium
Lineage: Bacteria
Description: partial 16S ribosomal RNA
Rfam family: Bacterial small subunit ribosomal RNA
Source: RNAcentral
UACGUAGGGAGCAAGCGUUGUCCGGAAUCAUUGGGCGUAAAGCGCGCGUAGGUGGCCUCAUAAGUCCGCUGUGAAAGUCAAAGGCUCAACCUUUGAAAGCCGGUGGAUACUGUGAGGCUAGAGUACGGAAGAGGCGAGUGGAAUUCCUGGUGUAGCGGUGGAAUGCGCAGAUAUCAGGAGGAACACCAACGGCGAAGGCAGCACUCUGGGCCGGAACUGACGCUGAGGAGCGAAAGCGUGGGUAGCGAACAGG